UCUAGAGCUAAUACAUGCUGAAAACCCCGACUUCGGAAGGGAUGUAUUUAUUAGAUUAAAAGCCAAUGCCCUUCGGGGCUCCCUGGUGAUUCAUAAUAACUGCUCGAAUCGCACGGCCUUGCGCCGGCGAUGGUUCAUUCAAAUUUCUGCCCUAUCAACUUUCGACGGCUGGGUCUUGGCCAGCCGUGGUGACAACGGGUAACGGAGGGUUAGGGCUCGACCCCGGAGAAGGAGCCUGAGAAACGGCUACUACAUCCAAGGAAGGCAGCAGGCGCGCAAAUUACCCAAUCCCGACUCGGGGAGGUAGUGACAAUAAAUACUGAUACAGGGCUCUUUUGGGUCUUGUAAUUGGAAUGAGUACAAUUUAAUUCCCUUAACGAGGAACAAUUGGAGGGCAAGUCUGGUGCCAGCAGCCGCGGUAAUUCCAGCUCCAAUAGCGUAUAUUAAAGUUGUUGCAGUUAAAAAGCUCGUAGUUGAACCUUGGGCCUGGCUGGCCGGUCCGCCUCACCGCGUGCACUGGUCCGGCCGGGCCUUUCCCUCUGGGGAGCCGCAUGCCCUUCACUGGGCGUGUCGGGGAACCAGGACUUUUACUUUGAAAAAAUUAGAGUGUUCAAAGCAGGCUUAUGCUCGAAUACAUUAGCAUGGAAUAAUAGAAUAGGACGCGUGGUUCUAUUUUGUUGGUUUCUAGGACCGCCGUAAUGAUUAAUAGGGACAGUCGGGGGCAUCAGUAUUCAGUUGCGAGAGGUGAAAUUCUUGGACCAACUGAAGACUAACUACUGCGAAAGCAUUUGCCAAGGAUGUUUUCAUUAAUCAGGAACGAAAGUUAGGGGAUCGAAGACGAUCAGAUACCGUCGUAGUCUUAACCAUAAACUAUGCCGACUAGGGAUCGGGCGGUGUUAUCUUUUGACCCGCU
Molecule: ribosomal RNA, 913 nt
Filed under: Dryadomyces quercivorus
Lineage: Eukaryota; Fungi; Ascomycota; Sordariomycetes; Ophiostomatales; Ophiostomataceae
Description: SSU rRNA
Rfam family: Eukaryotic small subunit ribosomal RNA
Source: RNAcentral